This 175-nucleotide ribosomal RNA is filed under the name uncultured Prosthecochloris sp. Its description in RNAcentral is "partial 16S ribosomal RNA". It matches the Rfam family "Bacterial small subunit ribosomal RNA", at positions 377 to 555 of the family's 1533-position model. Lineage: Bacteria; Pseudomonadati; Chlorobiota; Chlorobiia; Chlorobiales; Chlorobiaceae. The record is from RNAcentral.
CGAAGCCUGACGCAGCACGCCGCGUGGAUGAUGAAGUCCUUCGGGAUGUAAAGUCCUUUUGCAGAGGAAGAACAGCCUGCUUUGCGGGUGUGACGGUACUCUGCGAAUGGUCCACGGCUAACGCUGGCCAGCAGCCGCGGUAAUACAUGGGGGGCAAGGGUUGUGCGGAUUUACU